AACGGCCGUACCAUGCUGAAUAUACCGGUUCUCGUUAGAUCACCGAAGUUAAGCAUCAUUGGGCGCGGUCAGUACUUGGGUGGGUGACCACCUGGGAACACUGCGUGC
Molecule: ribosomal RNA, 108 nt
Filed under: Caerostris darwini
Lineage: Eukaryota; Metazoa; Arthropoda; Arachnida; Araneae; Araneidae
Source: RNAcentral